CGGGACACGUGGUAUCCUGUCUGAAUAUGGGGGGACCAUCCUCCAAGGCUAAAUACUCCUGACUGACCGAUAGUGAACCAGUACCGUGAGGGAAAGGCGAAAAGAACCCCGGCGAGGGGAGUGAAAAAGAACCUGAAACCGUGUACGUACAAGCAGUGGGAGCCUCUUUUAUGGGGUGACUGCGUACCUUUUGUAUAAUGGGUCAGCGACUUAUAUUCUGUAGCAAGGUUAACCGAAUAGGGGAGCCGAAGGGAAACCGAGUCUUAACUGGGCGUUAAGUUGCAGGGUAUAGACCCGAAACCCGGUGAUCUAGCCAUGGGCAGGUUGAAGGUUGGGUAACACUAACUGGAGGACCGAACCGACUAAUGUUGAAAAAUUAGCGGAUGACUUGUGGCUGGGGGUGAAAGGCCAAUCAAACCGGGAGAUAGCUGGUUCUCCCCGAAAGCUAUUUAGGUAGCGCCUCGUGAAUUCAUCUCCGGGGGUAG
RNAcentral lists this ribosomal RNA (485 nucleotides) under Escherichia coli. RNAcentral describes it as "partial 23S ribosomal RNA". It matches the Rfam family "Bacterial large subunit ribosomal RNA", at positions 418 to 905 of the family's 2925-position model. Lineage: Bacteria; Pseudomonadati; Pseudomonadota; Gammaproteobacteria; Enterobacterales; Enterobacteriaceae. The record is from RNAcentral.